UCCCGCGCCCUCUCCAGAAACAAUCUGGAAAGAAGCGCGGUGCACUGAUGUUUCAUUGUUCCUGUUUCAUCCACCUGAUACAGGUUGGUAACUGUGAAUAAUCUAUAACUCUCUACCUCAAAAGGCCGCGCUUUAUUACAGUGAUUGUCUGUGAAAUGUUCAGUGUUGAAAUGUUGUUUAAACAGUUACAUACGUAAAGACAAAGAAAGUUAGCCGGUCUCGGCGGAGUUUUCUCCUGCUGACGUCAUCACGAUAUGUAUAAAAACAGUAGUAAAGUGUUUUGAAAGCUCCCGUACACUAUGCAUGUUUAAUAUUUACAUUGUUUAAUGACAUUAGCAGGAUUUACAUGUACUUAGUACAACUGGGUUAAUGCUGUUUAUAGUGAACACUGAUUGUUAACAUGAAAAUGGUUGUUCUGUUAAAAAUAUUUUGCUACACGUGUUGACAUAAACAUUUUCUAGUAAAUGCAUUUCAGUAGCCUGUCAUUAUUACAGAGGUAGAGUGUCAAGCUUGGCAAAUUGAAAGGGACAAAAUGUAUUAAUUUGGAUGAUGCUGAAAAUAAGCCGCAGUAUUGUGACCAGUUGUAUACUGUGAAAAUGAAUGCACUUUAAUGAGUACAAGUGUUUAUUGGACCAAGAAAAAGGUUUGUGUCAGAACUGGUAGCACAUCAGAAUGAAAUUGUGCUUUAUUGAAAAUGUGAGAAAGUAGAAUGCAGUGAUGGACUUUAGUGAACUGAGAACUCAAAUAUGAAAAACUGGAAUGUGUACAACAGAAAUGUGUUUAUGAGCUUUGUUCAUGAUUUUGAUGUGUUUAAUAAAACACACAGAGAAACAAUCUGGAAAGAAGCGCGGUGCACUGACGUUUCAUUGUUCCUGUUUCAUCCACCUGAUACAGAAAGAUUUCAUCUCGUCUUUACGACACCUAAUCUCUCCUCCUCGGUGAAGCCCAUGAUCUCCAUGGCCUCCAGAGUCUCAUCAAACAUCUCCUCGUCCUGCUGACCAGAGAUCUCCACGUGACCUGCCACCAGGAAACGGUAGCUACUGAAGUCCUCCAGCAGCAGCUCCUCUACAAGUACAAACACACAAAGCAUUCUAAUCAGAGGACAUUUGAAUUGAAUUACCCAAACCUUAACUUGAAGCCAAUAUUUCAACUUAAAAUUGACGAUUUACGUUAUGGGGAUUUAUUCUUAUGCCCUAAAAGGAGGGAAACCUCCAUGAUGCGACACAAGGUGUCAACAGAUUUAUGUCUGUAUGACCUUUGAAAAAUGUUAUUUCAUAGCUGAUGACACCUGGUUAUAAAACUUGCACACAGAUUAAUGUUAAGAAUGUGCAACUUCCUAUCUGACAAUAAGUCAUCUGCACAGACUCCCUCAGAAGGAGUGUAGAGAAAAGCUACAUGUGCAACACAUUUUCCUCUAAGAAUACAGCUCUGACUGGCUUUAAAUUGCCUUAAAAUGACAUACUGUUCCUUUAAAAAUGCAAGUACUGAUAUUUUUCUGUUGUCUAAGCUGCUCACCCUUCAUCUUGUCUUUGGCUCCUGCCACCAUGUAGUAGAAGAUGUGGAAGGCUCUCUCAGUGUUGGCCUGACGGAUACAGCGAGACUUCUCCAACAGGUCUGACGAUUGGCUCAGGAAAAGGUUAAGCAGGUGUUUAAUUUAAUGUUUGGAAUUCAGUCAUAGCUUGACAAAGGAUACAAGUGUCAAUAUUUGCCCCAACGAUAUAGCCGGUCACAUCAAAGUUGAGUUUGAUGAAUUUUCCCUGUGGACACAGAUGAUGACAGCAGCUGUAUGACACUAUACUGUGGUAACUAAACAUCAUAGUAUUCUUGACUUGUAUUUCUGUAAGUGAGUUGACUUACAAGCUGACAAAAUCACUUACAAAUCGUGAGGAGUUGUCAUUUUUGAUGGUUUUCGCAUUGCCAAAGGCCUCCAGGAUUGGAUUUGCCUGCAGCAGCUGCUUUUCCAACUCCCCCUGCGGUCCAAAACAUAGUUACACAUCUACUUAUGCACAACAUUUACCAGCUGAUGUUUAGUCAGCAUAAUGCAGACAACACACCCAAAAAAUCUGCUUACUUUCAAAUGGAAUGUACUCAAAGAUGCGAGAGUGGCAAUGUAUUUUUGUCUUUAAAUGUAAAGUAAAAGUGUGUCUGUAUGAGAUUCAGUACUCACAUAAGCCAGAGAUCCUGCCUGCUGCUGCUGCUGCUGCUGCAGGAAGAGUCAGUAAAACAAACGGAUGAGAAACCAUAAGAGGUAAAUGCUUUCUAUGAGUGUCCUCUGAUUAUUUUUAUGCAUGUGAAAACGGUGCAUUUAGAUUUUCCCCAAAAUUGGCCGCCUGAAACACAGCUAAGCAGCAGACAUCGGGGGUCAAGCAUCCAUAGAUCUUACCUAAACAACCCACAGAUGAUUCAUGACUGGAUUAAAUGCAGCUGAGCAAAAAGCAGCUGUAACUUUCAAUCAACAUUACAGAGGAUUUGUGGGAAAAUAUGAAGACUGGGUAUUUCCAUCUUCUCCAAGUGCUGCGCUUCUCUAUUAGUGGCAUGUUUAUGUAUGGGACUUUUAAAAUCUUCAGAGUUGUGUGAAAAAUUAAAAGCAGCAGCAGCAAUAGCAGAAGCAUGUACAACGUUGAUCUGUCCUCACCUUGGCCACAGCUGCAGCAACUGAAUCCUGUCAUGUACAGCAGAAUUUAUGCUUCAACAUUUUGUGGCAAUACAGGUCAUAUCAAAUGACACCUUUGUUUCUAGCACAGUAAUAUCUGUCAUCAAACUGUUUGUCUUUGCAACUUUGCCUCAAGAUUUACUGUACAAAACGAGCAUAGAUAAUAUCUAUGUGAGAAUGUGUGCAACCAUACAGAUGAAUAAAUGGAGCAAAAUAUGCUUCUGUAAGUUAAAGAUCAGAUUCAAAUUAUCCUGAAAGCUCGAGUGUUGACCAGAACAAAGAGAUCAGAACACAUCAGUCCAGUUCUAAAGUCUUUACACUGGCAACCAGUCAGCCAUAGAAUAGAUUUAAACGUUCUGCUACUGGCCUAUAUGUCACUGAAUGGUCCAGAAUACGUUAAUGACAUGUUAAUGGAAUAUAAACCCAGUAGGACUCUGAGAUCUAUGGACUCAGGUCAGAUAGUAGAGCCCAGAGUUCAAACUAAACAUGGUAAAGCAGCAUUUAGGUGUUACCAAGGAAACUGAGGUCAGCACCAAACAUUCACAUUUUCAAAUCCAGGUUAAAAGCUUUCCAUUAUCCGUGCGCUCAUGGGUGAGCUCUUUUAAAUCACUCACAUUUUAAUCUUGUAUCUGCACUGUUUGUUCUGUUAAUAUAAUCAGCACAGAUAUGCUGGCUUUCUUUUUUUUAUUAGUUUAUUUAAUGUUCCCUAAACAGUGAACAUCUGUCAGUAAUAAUUCUAUAUCUGAGUACAACAAAUAAAAUACAUAAAAUGUAUUUUCCAUUGUUACCAAAUUACAUGUUGCCAUAUUUUGGUGGCUACUUUGAUCGUUACAGAGGUUCACAUCCAUAUGUACAAUAAUGUUACUAUAAUAUUACUGCAAAUAUCCUGCUGUGACACAGUGAAAUGGAAAAAUCUCUGGAACAAAACAGUUGACAGAAAAAAAACAUGUCUUACUUCCGUCAAUGGAUCAGACUUUUUAUGGUUAAAUAAUAUUCUGACAGCAGUGAUGGAGGUCAGGACGCAACCUGAGGACCAAAUAAUGAUACUGUUCCAUGGAUGCAAGUGAAAGCAGCACUCUCACUUUGCUGCAGGUAGCUUCUUACUUUGUGAUUACAAGUUACGCAUUUUACAUAAACUAUAGAUGCAAUUAGUCCAUGUUAUUAGACCUAACUGUAAGGUAUUUUAGUCUCUUUUUUCUUUUCUUUUUUUUUUUGCUGUGUAGGACCAGGAACUAUAAAAAACAUACAUUGUCAAUGAUGGAUGUUGUGAGUCUGAAAGUCCCCUCAAGCUCACAAGUAUUUUAUUAACAUUAUUUUAUAACAAUCUUCCAAGUUUUUAUCCUGUUUUCAUUUUGAUUUUUGCACAUAUUAAUUUUGUUGCCUGAUUCACGUUGUUUUAAAAUGAGCUAUAAAGAAAAAUAAAUUUUGAUUCUGCUGCCAAUAAAACUACUGUGUAUUCAUCUUA
Molecule: long non-coding RNA, 4118 nt
Organism: Amphiprion ocellaris (clown anemonefish)
Lineage: Eukaryota; Metazoa; Chordata; Actinopteri; Pomacentridae
Exons: 2
Source: RefSeq, a predicted model, not a curated record